CCUACGGGAGGCUGCAGUGGGGAAUAUUGGGCAAUGGGCGCAAGCCUGACCCAGCAACGCCGCGUGAAGGAAGAAGGCUUUCGGGUUGUAAACUUCUUUUGACAGGGAAGAGUAGAAGACGGUACCUGUCGAAUAAGCCACGGCUAACUACGUGCCAGCAGCCGCGGUAAUACGUAGGUGGCAAGCGUUGUCCGGAUUUACUGGGUGUAAAGGGCGUGUAGCCGGGUUGACAAGUCAGAUGUGAAAUCCUGCGGCUUAACCGCAGAACUGCAUUUGAAACUGUUGAUCUUGAGUACUGGAGAGGCAGACGGAAUUCCUAGUGUAGCGGUGAAAUGCGUAGAUAUUAGGAGGAACACCAGUGGCGAAGGCAGUCUGCUAGACAGCAACUGACGGUGAGGCGCGAAAGCGUGGGGAGCAAACAGGAUUAGAUACCCGGGUAGUC
Molecule: ribosomal RNA, 442 nt
Filed under: uncultured bacterium
Lineage: Bacteria
Description: partial 16S ribosomal RNA
Rfam family: Bacterial small subunit ribosomal RNA
Source: RNAcentral